Molecule: non-coding RNA, 72 nt
Organism: Phrynosoma platyrhinos (Desert horned lizard)
Lineage: Eukaryota; Metazoa; Chordata; Lepidosauria; Squamata; Phrynosomatidae
Source: the annotation of a GenBank genome assembly
AGCAGUAUGGUAUAGUGGUUUGAACAUUAGACUCUGACUCUAGAGAACAGGGUUUGAAUCCCUGCUCAGCCA